CAGCGCUGUAAAGCCUCAGUGUAAUCAGUGCCGCAGUGCUGGGAGCGCGGCUCCCAGCGCUGCAAGCUACACCCGUAGAGGAUGUGGUUUACGUGCAGCGCUGGGGGAGCUCUCUCUCAGCGCUGGUGCUCCGACCACACUCACACUUCAAAGCGCUGCUGCGGCAGUGCUUUGAAAUUUCAAGUGUAGCCAUACCCUCAGGUUAGGAAUUGUUGAACCCUGGGUUCCAACCUGGGGCUUUAGCAUCUGCACUGCAUUGCGUAGGCUUGAGACUAGCGACCCAUAUCCCAGACUUCCUAGUAUUUCCCCCUCUUCCCCCCCCAAAAAAAAUAUGGCUGCUGUAGCCCUUUGUUCAUGGUGCAGUGUGGGAAAACUUGACUAUCAUGAGCACAGUGGGGCUGCAUCUACACUGCAAAGCUUGAACUCUGGCUUCUGGCUUGACUCAAGCUCAGGUAUUAUACACAGCAAAGAAAACCUGUGGCUGGCUUGUGCCAGCCAACUCAGGCAUAAGUGCUAGAACUAGGGGUGUGGGGGUGCUACUGCACCUCCUGGCUAUGAUGGAAACGACUUCAAUACAGGGUUUACAGUUUUGUUUAAUGGCUCAUAUCUCAUUAUCACUGCAGGGGUAGUCUUGUCUCAGGAAUUCUAAGUACGGAAACAUUUUUCUUGUAGAUCAAUUUUUGGUUACUCUUCCAAAUAACCAAAUAGUCUCUCUGAGAGUUGUAUACAUUUCCUUUAUGUAUAUUAUUUGGAGAUAUGCUUGAAACCCAUUUUGUUGAGAAAUUAAGGCCCCUAUGCUGCUGUAGUUGACUUGAAUGAAAGCAGGAUGAGGCUUUAAGCAACAGUUGGAAUUACAAAACAGGAGGAGCUGAAGGAUUUAAAUUGGAGGAUAUAAAUUAUAAAAAUAAAAUGGAAGACACCCCUCUUCAGCAAACUAAUAUUUUUGUCUAUUAUAGUCAACCAUGGUAGUAUUUUCUGCCUUGCAUCAAAUGCCUUAGGCUAAGUCUUCCUUUUACCUGAAAACUGUUUUGUCUAAAUUAUGUUGUCUUUGGAUAAACCAGGUUUGGCUAUAUGUGGAAAGAAUAAAUUUGUUUACAUUUGUUCUUCAUUUAGUGUAGACAUAGUUAUACUGACAAAAAAUGCUUUGGCUGGUGCAACUCAUUUCGUUCAGGGAACUGGUAUAAACUAUACCAACAAUAGAGGUCUUUGGCUGGUAAAAGCUGCAUCUACACUAGGAGGGUUUGCUGGCAUAGCUAUACUGGCAAACCUUGUUUAAUGUAGACUAGGUCUUGAUUCUCUAUUGAAGUAUAGUCCACAUUUACAACUAUCUUUGUAUUAAUGAUAGUUAUAGUCUUCCAAAAUAGUAUUGAAAAUUUUGUGAAAGAAAAUAUUUUUCUCGCGAUCUAACAAUUAGAGUGUGUUCUUCUCACAAA
Molecule: long non-coding RNA, 1433 nt
Organism: Gopherus flavomarginatus (Mexican gopher tortoise)
Lineage: Eukaryota; Metazoa; Chordata; Testudines; Testudinidae
Exons: 2
Source: RefSeq, a predicted model, not a curated record